This 236-nucleotide ribosomal RNA is filed under the name uncultured bacterium. Its description in RNAcentral is "partial 16S ribosomal RNA". It matches the Rfam family "Bacterial small subunit ribosomal RNA", at positions 29 to 260 of the family's 1533-position model. The record is from RNAcentral.
AACGAACGCUGGCGGCGUGGAUAAGACAUGCAAGUCGAACGGGAGUUUGUUUAUAGCAAUAUGAGCGAAUUCUAGUGGCGAAAGGGUGCGUAACACGUGGCUACCUACCUCGAAGUUGGGGAUAGCUCGGCGAAAGCCGGAUUAAUACCGAAUGUGACCGUAAGGUCAAAGCUGGGGAUCGUAAGACCUGGCGCUUUGAGAUGGGGCUGCGGCCUAUCAGGUAGUUGGCGGGGUAA